CAUAGGUUAAUGAGGCGAACCGGGGGAACUGAAACAUCUAAGUACCCCGAGGAAAAGAAAUCAACCGAGAUUCCCCCAGUAGCGGCGAGCGAACGGGGAGCAGCCCAGAGCCUGAAUCAGUGUGUGUGUUAGUGGAAGCGUCUGGAAAGGCGCGCGAUACAGGGUGACAGCCCCGUACACAAAAAUGCACAUACUGUGAGCUCGAUGAGUAGGGCGGGACACGUGGUAUCCUGUCUGAAUAUGGGGGGACCAUCCUCCAAGGCUAAAUACUCCUGACUGACCGAUAGUGAACCAGUACCGUGAGGGAAAGGCGAAAAGAACCCCGGCGAGGGGAGUGAAAAAGAACCUGAAACCGUGUACGUACAAGCAGUGGGAGCACGCUUAGGCGUGUGACUGCGUACCUUUUGUAUAAUGGGUCAGCGACUUAUAUUCUGUAGCAAGGUUAACCGAAUAGGGGAGCCGAAGGGAAACCGAGUCUUAACUGGGCGUUAAGUUGCAGGGUAUAGACCCGAAACCCGGUGAUCUAGCCAUGGGCAGGUUGAAGGUUGGGUAACACUAACUGGAGGACCGAACCGACUAAUGUUGAAAAAUUAGCGGAUGACUUGUGGCUGGGGGUGAAAGGCCAAUCAAACCGGGAGAUAGCUGGUUCUCCCCGAAAGCUAUUUAGGUAGCGCCUCGUGAAUUCAUCUCCGGGGGUAGAGCACUGUUUCGGCAAGGGGGUCAUCCCGACUUACCAACCCGAUGCAAACUGCGAAUACCGGAGAAUGUUAUCACGGGAGACACACGGCGGGUGCUAACGUCCGUCGUGAAGAGGGAAACAACCCAGACCGCCAGCUAAGGUCCCAAAGUCAUGGUUAAGUGGGAAACGAUGUGGGAAGGCCCAGACAGCCAGGAUGUUGGCUUAGAAGCAGCCAUCAUUUAAAGAAAGCGUAAUAGCUCACUGGUCGAGUCGGCCUGCGCGGAAGAUGUAACGGGGCUAAACCAUGCACCGAAGCUGCGGCAGCGACGCUGAUGCGUUGUUGGGUAGGGGAGCGUUCUGUAAGCCUGCGAAGGUGUGCUGUGAGGCAUGCUGGAGGUAUCAGAAGUGCGAAUGCUGACAUAAGUAACGAUAAAGCGGGUGAAAAGCCCGCUCGCCGGAAGACCAAGGGUUCCUGUCCAACGUUAAUCGGGGCAGGGUGAGUCGACCCCUAAGGCGAGGCCGAAAGGCGUAGUCGAUGGGAAACAGGUUAAUAUUCCUGUACUUGGUGUUACUGCGAAGGGGGGACGGAGAAGGCUAUGUUGGCCGGGCGACGGUUGUCCCGGUUUAAGCGUGUAGGCUGGUUUUCCAGGCAAAUCCG
Molecule: ribosomal RNA, 1337 nt
Filed under: Escherichia coli
Lineage: Bacteria; Pseudomonadati; Pseudomonadota; Gammaproteobacteria; Enterobacterales; Enterobacteriaceae
Description: partial 23S ribosomal RNA
Rfam family: Bacterial large subunit ribosomal RNA
Source: RNAcentral